GUCCAUCCAUUAUCCCUUGUGGUUUGCAUUCUUUUCCUUGCAAAAUAAUUUUACAACUAUCCUUGUUCAAUACCGCCUGCAUCUUCAUCUUCUAAAGUGCAAAGUUUGAUCCAUCAAACCUCAGUAUCUCAUAUUUUAUUGUCGUCACCUUAUCCAUCAUUAUUUCAAAUCAAACCAGCUACAAAAGAAUCUCUUUGAUUUGAUACCAAAUUGAUAGAAUCGAUCGAGGGGUAAUCGAGCGCA
RNAcentral lists this long non-coding RNA (243 nucleotides) under Elaeis guineensis (African oil palm). RNAcentral's name for it is "long non-coding RNA (EGUI_LNC048328)". The record is from RNAcentral. Lineage: Eukaryota; Viridiplantae; Streptophyta; Magnoliopsida; Arecales; Arecaceae.